AAAUUAUAGGGAUGGAAUGCUAUUAUCAGUUGAGUUUGUAAACGCAAAAAUGACGUCUUUAAACUGAUACGACGACGCUACCUUUUCUAAUCCGACGGAAAGAAAACGACCAGAUAGCGACACAAGAAUGAGAAUGAGAGAGAGAGAGAGAUGUACUCGAAGAAGGCCCUGUGGGCGGAGAGAGUAACGGUGAAGGCGUCGCCGGGAUCGGAGACCCAACAGGAAUCGGCGGUGACGGAGGUCCAGUAACUCUGCUCAACUCGCUUAAUGGGCAGAGGCUGUAUCGGGAGGUCACGCUUGCCCUGAAAACCGGGAUCGGUGGAACUUAAGGUUCCGUCACGCUUAAUGAACGAGAACGCCCGAGCCGAGUUCUCGUUCCGCCGCGUCCGCGGCCUCCGAAUCAUUUUCAAGUUCCACCGAUCCGUCGCUGAGUUCGACUCCACCAUCCAGCUCUUUGGCCAGACCCAGUCCCUUCCUGAGCUCCAAGUGAUUCCGACUUUGUUUCAACAUUCGCUAAAAGAGCCAGAAGAUGAAACAGUAGCGAAUUUGGAUCAUAUAUUUGGCUUAGAGCCUUUGAAGAUAACUAGCCCCUCAUCCAAUGCCAAUGAUGUCGCACUUGCGCUUCGGGUCUUGGAAGGUUGCUGUCUUCUCCAUAGUGGGAGCACAGUUUUGGCCUAUCAUCAUAACGCAAUCCAGCUAUUGAGGUUUCAAGCUCUGCUGCAUUUUCAUCCGUCUACUGAAGGGUGGACCUGUCAUAACCACAGGCAAUCGUACCUGUCAUUAAAUAGGAGUUUAAAUGGAGAGGAGACUUAAAAAUGAAAUGAAUGAAGAAAUGGGAGCACAGACUAUAUUUGCAUCUUUUGGAUGACCCACUUGGCAUUUUAUUCAUCAAGUUUUAUUGAACUCGUGGAGCACUUGAGCAAGGCGCAUGCUUAGAUGCUUUAAUCUCUAUAAUGUUGGAUUCAUCAGACAAUCAAAUGGAUUUCAAGGCAUGUGAUGGUAUUGAGGAAGUUGCAGAACUCAUAAGAGACAAACAAUCGGAUGAAAAUCUCAGUGGAGGCCUAGGCAGUAUGGGCUCGAGAUUUGGGCUGGGUGGGGCACGUUGCAUGAUGGCUGGCCACCGAAAACCAAAGAAGAGGGGUGGACUUCUAUGAGAGAGAGAGAGAGAGAGAGAGAGAGGAAAGGAUAGAGAGUUCGUCAAGAUAAUAAAGCUUCAGACACGCAACGUACUGAUGGGAAAAGAAGGUGGCAGACCUUGGGCAGAGAAGAUAGGCAGCACUGCAAAGAAAAAAAAGAAAAAAAAAAGGGUAAUAAAAGGGUGUGCCGGAGACGUAAGUAUAUCAUUACCCUCAUGAGUUUCUUUAAAAAUUUUAUACGCAUUUAUUUUUGUA
Molecule: RNA transcript, 1391 nt
Organism: Carya illinoinensis
Lineage: Eukaryota; Viridiplantae; Streptophyta; Magnoliopsida; Fagales; Juglandaceae
Exons: 6
Source: RefSeq, a predicted model, not a curated record